GUGCCCGUAGCGCAAUCGGAUAGAGCGUCGGCCUCCGAAGCCGAAGGUUGGAGGUUCGAAUCCUCCCGGGCACA
Molecule: transfer RNA, 74 nt
Filed under: Planctomycetaceae bacterium
Lineage: Bacteria; Pseudomonadati; Planctomycetota; Planctomycetia; Planctomycetales; Planctomycetaceae
Also listed under: 1 other name
Description: tRNA-Arg
Rfam family: tRNA
About the family: Transfer RNA (tRNA) molecules are approximately 80 nucleotides in length. Their secondary structure includes four short double-helical elements and three loops (D, anti-codon, and T loops).
Source: RNAcentral